NNNNNUUCUUAGUUGGUGGAGUGAUUUGUCUGCUUAAUUGCGAUAACGAACGAGACCUUAACCUGCUAAAUAGCCCGUAUUGCUCCGGCAGUACGCUGGCUUCUUAGAGGGACUAUCGGCUCAAGCCGAUGGAAGUUUGAGGCAAUAACAGGUCUGUG
This is a ribosomal RNA of Drechmeria coniospora, 158 nucleotides long. It matches the Rfam family "Eukaryotic small subunit ribosomal RNA", at positions 1286 to 1466 of the family's 1831-position model. The record is from Rfam. NCBI's taxonomy places the organism in Eukaryota, Fungi, Ascomycota, Sordariomycetes, Hypocreales, Ophiocordycipitaceae.